GGGCCCGCACAAGCAGUGGAGCAUGUGGUUUAAUUCGAUGCAACGCGAAGAACCUUACCAGGCCUUGACAUCCCCCGGAACUUUCUAGAGAUAGAUUGGUGCCUUCGGGAACCGGGUGACAGGUGCUGCAUGGCUGUCGUCAGCUCGUGUCGUGAGAUGUUGGGUUAAGUCCCGUAACGAGCGCAACCCUUGUCCUUAGUUGCCAGCACGUAAUGGUGGGAACUCUAUAGAGACUGCCGGUGAUAAACCGGAGGAAGGUGAGGACGACGUCAAGUCAUCAUGGCCCUUACGGGUAGGGCUACACACGUGCUACAAUGGGCAGUACAACAGGACGCAAUAUCGUGAGAUGGAGCCAAUCCUUAAAGCUGCUCCAGUCGGAUUGAGUCUGCAACUCGACUUCAUGAAGUCGGAAUCGCUAGUAAUCGC
RNAcentral lists this ribosomal RNA (426 nucleotides) under uncultured bacterium. RNAcentral describes it as "bacterial SSU rRNA". It matches the Rfam family "Bacterial small subunit ribosomal RNA", at positions 917 to 1345 of the family's 1533-position model. The record is from RNAcentral.